GCACUAGUAGCCAAGUGUGUGUUAAGUUUACUAUAGAACUGACAUAGAGUUCAUCAAUUGGUUUUUCUAUUUACUAGUUGAUAGCCCGUGCCAAGCACGGGUUUAAAUAAAAUUUUAAAAUUUGUUAUUUAUUGGAAGAAUAAUGUCUUUUUUAGUUAGAUUAUCAUAUUUUUAUUAUACUUAUUUAAAUUAUUGUUUUUAAAUGAUAUUUAAAUUAUUGUUAUUUAAUAUAAGACUUUCAAUAUAUUAAAAUUUGAUCCUACUUUAAAUUUAUUUCAUAACAAUAUGAGUCUCUGUUCUAUGGAAUUCACAAAAUAAGAGUAUUGGCGUCCAAAAUUAUUUAAAAAUAAUCUACUCGUUUCAAUUUUAAUUUUUUUUUAGUCUACAAUAUAUUUGUAAACAUCACUAUGUUUACAAAUAUAUUUAUUUUAGUAAAAUCACUAUGUUGUUUGAUGAUUUUUAAAUUGUGAAAAUAAUAUUCAAGAUCAACACAUAUAAGUUCGUUUACAGCGUCUUUAAUCUCGAAUAAAAUUCAAAUUUUUAAGUCGUAAUUGUUAUAUUCAAUUAUUAGGCAAACGUUAUAUAUAAUUAUAUUUGGAGUUUUUGUAGAUUUAACAGCUGUAGUAGUUGUUUGAUAAACUGAUAUUAUAGUUUGACAAAAUUAAUUAACUUUCCAAAAGUAAUUUGAUAUCAAAUAAUUUGACGUAUGUCUAGAGUUUUGGUUCUUUUAUUAUAUGUUGCAAUAUGGAUAAUGACUUCAUUUUUUUUUGAGUUUUUAUUUGUCAAGUCAGUGUUACCAUCGCCUUAUUCGUCUUUAUCGCAAUCUUCUGGAAAACACUGAAUGAUAAUAAUUAUUAUUAUUAAAAAAAAUAUGACCAGGUUUAUUGGUACUUUGGUAUCAAUAUUGAAUCUUGUUUAUUUUAAUUCUGAAAUAUGAUAGAAAUUUUAUAAAUUUGUUUCGUAAAUUAAAUUGUAUGAGUUUUAAAAAUUAAAACGAAUAUUUGACGUAUGUCUAGAGUUUCGGUUCUUUUAUUAUAUGUUGAAAUAUGGACAAUGACUUCAUUUUUUUUUAGUUUCCAUUUGUCAAGUCAAUGUUGCCACCGCCUUAUUCCAUUAUUCGUCUUUAUCGUACUUUUCUGAAAAACACUAAAUGAUAAUAAUGAUAAUUAUUAAAAAAUAUAUGAUCAAGUUUUUUGAUACUUUGGUAUCAAUAUUGAAUCUUGUUUAUUUUAAUUCUGGAAUAUGAUAGAAGUUUUAUAAAUUUAUUUCGUAAAUUAAAUUGUAUGAGUUUUAAAAAUUAAAACGAAUAAUUUCGUUGACAUUAUUAUUCUAUUGAUAGAAUAUUAUAUUAAUAUCAAUAUGAACUCGUUAUUUAUUUGAACUCUGAAGCAUGAUAAAAGAUUUAUAGAGUUGUUCCAUAUAUUAAAUUAUUUGAGUUUUAAAAAACUAAAGCAAAUAAUUUUGUUGGUAAUAUAUAUUUAUUAGUGAGAUAAUUGUUAUAAUACAAAAUCCUGUCAAAUAUAGAAGUUCUUUGAUAAUAGUAAUAAUUGUUAAAUAAAAAAUAAAAUGAUGAUAGCCAAAUUUUGAUAUGAAUUUUAUAGAACUGUUUCAUAAGUUAAAUUGUUUGCGAUUUAACUGUGCGGAUAGGAUAAAUGUUAUAUUACAAAAUCCUAAACACCAUGGAAGUCUUUUUAUAGUAUGAUAAUAAUCUUAACCAAUUUUGAAAUUAUUAAUAAUAAAAUCUGAAUAAAUAUAGAAUUCUUUUCAUAAUUGUAUAAUAAUAAUUAUAAAAACCUAAAAAUGUAUAAUAAUAAGUAUAAAAUCCUAACAAUAUGAAAAUCUUUUCAUAAUUCUAUAAUGGUUAUUGUUAUUAAAUAAAAAAUUUAUAUAACAUUCUCCUAAUCAAUAUUGAAGUUCUUAAUAAUAAAAUUCUAAUCAAUACAGAAAUCUUUCACUAUCCUAAUGAAUAUUGAGGUCUUUAAUAAUAAAAUUUUAUUCAAUAUUGAAGUCUUUUGAUAAUAAUAUAAUAAUGACUAUAAAAUUCUAAUCAAUAUGAAAGUGACCGAAUUUUGGUACUUUAGUACCGAUGUUCCACCGAAACGUGGUUUCGCUUAUUAAUUAGAAUUCUUUUCAUAAUUGUAUAAUAAUAAUUAUAAAAAUCUAAAAAUGUAUAAUAAUAAGUAUAAAAUAUUAACAAUAUGAAAAUCUUUUCAUAAUUCUAUAAUGGUUAUUGUUAUUAAAUAAAAAAUUUAUAUAACAUUCUCCUAAUCAAUAUUGAAGUUCUUAAUAAUAAAAUUCUAAUCAAUACAGAAAUUUUUCACUUUCCUAAUGAAUAUUGAGGUCUUUAAUAAUAAAAUUUUAUUCAAUAUUGAAGUCUUUUGAUAAUAAUAUAAUAAUGACUAUAAAAUUCUAAUCAAUAUGAAAGUGACCGAAUUUUGGUACUUUAGUACCGAUGUUCCACCGAAACGUGGUUUCGCUUAUUAAUAAAGGGUAUUGAUAUCUUUUCAAUUUGUGACAGUGAACAGAAUACAGAUACAUACCAAAGAUUUUGGCUGAUCAAGCAGGAUCUUUUGAGCUCAGCUGAGACUCAUACUUCACCAGCAAAGCUUAAGAGCCAUGAUGUUUGCCGGAUCGAAACGAGUGAAAUCGAGAUCAGAAUCUACUGGAGAGUCUAAGACAGAGAGAUGGGUUUCUAGUCAAAGAGAACCAGUGAAGAAAGACGGGGUUGAUGAGAAGGAGCGGAGAAAAAGGGAACUAGAGAAAGUUGAAAACGCUAUUUAUCUUAUGUGUUGGGGACCGAAUUAAUGGGUAGCCUCUAGUUGCUAGUUGAAUCUGGCGACUGGCAUCAUUAGUUUUGUAAAUCAUAAUCAAAUUUCAAACCAGUUGUGUUUGUUAGUUCUCAAUUCUCAUUUGUUACUAAUAGUCGGAUAAUGUCAGUAUAGCGUAAGUUUUGGAAUGGCUUCUUUCUAUAAAAAAAAGUAUUUUCAUCUAAUCGAAGAGCAUGCAAAGAUAUAUAUCCUCGAAAAUUUAGAUAAAAACCCUUCAAUAUCGAAAAGAAAACACCCGAAAGAAUAUAAUAAUACCCGUGAACGAAGAAAACCGGGCAAUAUCUGUAUAGCGUAAGCUUUAAUCGUAACUUAGAUGGGUUUUUUCGUAAAGUUUGUAGGCUUAUUUCUAUUGUAACUAAAUUUAUUAAUUAAAAUUCGAAAAAUGGUAUGGAAAUCAUAUUAUAUAACAACUGCAAAAACAGCGGUAUGGUCUUUCAGUUACCAAAUUUGUAGGAUAUAAUUUAUGAAAAGGCAAUAAUAAUUUCCGGUUGUCAGAUUUUAUAAGGUCUUAUUUAAUUUCAUCGUAGCCUCUUGACCAAGAAAUAAUGACAUCUUAUCACACAAUUGUCCUUUCUAUAUUGUACAGGUCACGGCCCUGGUAAAGAGUAUGAGCUUGAGGCACAUGAGCAGGACCAUUUUAAGAACCCUCCAAGGGCCAAAAGAACAAAACCCUAGGGGGUUAAUUAAGCACACUCAUGGGAAAAGCUUAUCGGAUUCCGACAAAGCAAGUGUUGGAAGGGUUACCUCUGGCAUUAAAGAACCGGUGAAGCAGGUCUGCGAUGACGAAAAAAGUAAGAUGAGGGAAGCUGCUAGGGCCGAGACUGUUAUGCAACUCAUAUGUUGGGGGCCUCACUAAUUUAUCUAUGAUGCGAGUAUUUCUUUGUUCUUAUGCACGAUAUCCUAUUUUUCUUUGUCUUGAUCUCAAAUAAAUUAAAGAGGGCACAAAUAAACUAUCGGUUUGAUGGUAUCUCCUUCUCUUAGGUUGAGAGUUCGAACUUUAUCUUUUGACUAUGUGUAUUUAAUUAUAAAAAAGGUGUCACAUUCAUAUUUGAUGUCUCUUUUAAU
This 3893-nucleotide long non-coding RNA is filed under the name Daucus carota (carrot). RNAcentral's name for it is "long non-coding RNA (DCAR_LNC004419)". The record is from RNAcentral. Lineage: Eukaryota; Viridiplantae; Streptophyta; Magnoliopsida; Apiales; Apiaceae.